This 253-nucleotide ribosomal RNA is filed under the name uncultured bacterium. RNAcentral's name for it is "partial 16S ribosomal RNA". It matches the Rfam family "Bacterial small subunit ribosomal RNA", at positions 524 to 776 of the family's 1533-position model. The record is from RNAcentral.
UACGUAGGGGGCAAGCGUUGUCCGGAAUCAUUGGGCGUAAAGCGCGUGUAGGCGGCCCGGUAAGUCCGCUGUGAAAGUCGGGGGCUCAACCCUCGAAUGCCGGUGGAUACUGUCGGGCUAGAGUGCGGAAGAGGCGAGUGGAAUUCCUGGUGUAGCGGUGAAAUGCGCAGAUAUCAGGAGGAACACCAAUUGCGAAGGCAGCUCGCUGGGACGUGACUGACGCUGAGACGCGAAAGUGUGGGGAGCGAACAGG